RNAcentral lists this ribosomal RNA (468 nucleotides) under uncultured bacterium. RNAcentral describes it as "partial 16S ribosomal RNA". It matches the Rfam family "Bacterial small subunit ribosomal RNA", at positions 28 to 507 of the family's 1533-position model. The record is from RNAcentral.
GACGAACGCUGGCGGCGUGCUUAACACAUGCAAGUCGAACGGAAAGGCCCUGCUUUUGUGGGGUGCUCGAGUGGCGAACGGGUGAGUAACACGUGAGUAACCUGCCCUUGACUUUGGGAUAACUUCAGGAAACUGGGGCUAAUACCGGAUAGGAGCUCCUGCUGCAUGGGGGGGGUUGGAAAGUUUCGGCGGUUGGGGAUGGACUCGCGGCUUAUCAGCUUGUUGGUGGGGUAGUGGCUUACCAAGGCUUUGACGGGUAGCCGGCCUGAGAGGGUGACCGGCCACAUUGGGACUGAGAUACGGACCAGACUCCUACGGGAGGCAGCAGUGGGGAAUAUUGCACAAUGGGCGGAAGCCUGAUGCAGCAACGCCGCGUGCGGGAUGACGGCCUUCGGGUUGUAAACCGCUUUCGCCUGUGACGAAGAGUGAGUGACGGUAAUGGGUAAAGAAGCAACGGCUAACUACGUG